RNAcentral lists this ribosomal RNA (403 nucleotides) under uncultured bacterium. RNAcentral describes it as "bacterial SSU rRNA". It matches the Rfam family "Bacterial small subunit ribosomal RNA", at positions 29 to 417 of the family's 1533-position model. The record is from RNAcentral.
AGCGAACGCUGGCGGCGUACUUAACACAUGCAAGUCGAACGGGGAUCGUCAGUGUAGCAAUACAUCGGCGGUUCUAGUGGCGCACGGGUGAGUAACACGUGGGUAACCUGCCCUUGAGUUCGGGAUACCCUUUCGAAAGGAAGGCUAAUACCGGAUACGUUCCUCGGAUUGCCAAAUCUGGGGAGGAAAGGUGGCGCAAGCUGCCGCUCUUGGAGGGGCUCGCGGCCUAUCAGCUAGNGGUGAGGUAACGGCUCACCAAGGCUAUGACGGGUAGCUGGUCUGAGAGGACGACCAGCCACACGGGAACUGAGACACGGUCCCGACUCCUACGGGAGGCAGCAGUGGGGAAUUUCCGCAAUGGGCGAAAGCCUGACGGAGUGACGCCGCGUGGGGACGAAGGCCU